Molecule: ribosomal RNA, 442 nt
Filed under: uncultured bacterium
Lineage: Bacteria
Description: partial 16S ribosomal RNA
Rfam family: Bacterial small subunit ribosomal RNA
Source: RNAcentral
CCUACGGGUGGCAGCAGUGGGGAAUAUUGGGCAAUGGGCGCAAGCCUGACCCAGCAACGCCGCGUGAAGGAAGAAGGCUUUCGGGUUGUACACUUCUUUUAUGAGGGAAGAGCAGAAGACGGUACCUCUUGAAUAAGACACGGCUACCUAGGUGCCAGCAGCCGCGGUCAUACGUAGGCGGCAAGCGUUGUCCGGAUUUACUGGGUGUAAAGGGCGUGUAGCCGGGCUGACAAGUCAGAGGUGAAAUCCCGUGACUCAACCACGGAACUGCAUUUGAAACUGUCGGUCGUGAGUAUCGGAGAGGCAGGAGGAAUGCGUGGUGUAGCGGUGAAAUGCGUAGAUAUUAGGAGGAACACCAGUGGCGAAGGCGGCCUGCUGGACGACAACUGACGGUGAGGCGCGAAAGCGUGGGGAGCAAACAGGAUUAGAUACCCGAGUAGUC